RNAcentral lists this ribosomal RNA (121 nucleotides) under Pteropus alecto (black flying fox). The record is from RNAcentral. Lineage: Eukaryota; Metazoa; Chordata; Mammalia; Chiroptera; Pteropodidae.
GUCUAUGGCUAUGCCACCCUGAACGUGCCCGAUUUCGUGCCCGAUUCUCAGAAGCUAAGCAGGCCAGGCCUAGUUAGUACUUGGAUGGGAGACCACCUAGGAAUACCAGCUACUGUAGGCA